RNAcentral lists this ribosomal RNA (403 nucleotides) under Verrucomicrobiota bacterium. Its description in RNAcentral is "Verrucomicrobia bacterium partial 16S ribosomal RNA". It matches the Rfam family "Bacterial small subunit ribosomal RNA", at positions 355 to 776 of the family's 1533-position model. The record is from RNAcentral. Lineage: Bacteria; Pseudomonadati; Verrucomicrobiota.
UGGGGAAUAUUGCACAAUGGGGGAAACCCUGAUGCAGCGACGCCGCGUGAGCGAAGAAGGUUUUCGAAUCGUAAAGCUCUGUCCUAUGAGAAGAUAAUGACGGUAUCAUAGGAGGAAGCCCCGGCUAACUACGUGCCAGCAGCCGCGGUAAUACGUAGGGGGCAAGCGUUAUCCGGAUUCAUUGGGCGUAAAGCGCGCGUAGGCGGUUUGUUAGGUCAGGAGUUAAAUCUGGGGGCUCAACCCCUAUCCGCUCCUGAUACCGGCAGGCUUGAGUCUGGUAGGGGAAGGCGGAAUUCCAAGUGUAGCGGUGAAAUGCGCAGAUAUUUGGAAGAACACCGGUGGCGAAGGCGGCCUUCUGGGCCACGACUGACGCUGAGGCGCGAAAGCUAGGGGAGCGAACAGG